This 406-nucleotide ribosomal RNA is filed under the name uncultured bacterium. RNAcentral's name for it is "partial 16S ribosomal RNA". It matches the Rfam family "Bacterial small subunit ribosomal RNA", at positions 29 to 526 of the family's 1533-position model. The record is from RNAcentral.
AUUGAACGCUGGCGGCAGGCCUAACACAUGCAAGUCGAGCGAGCGGCGGACGGGUGAGUAACGUAUGGGGAUCUGCCCGAUAGAGGGGGAUAACUACUGGAAACGGGUGCUAAUCCCGCAUACUACCUGAUGAAUCCAUCUGGGAGUAGCUAGCAGGUGGGGUAAAGGCUCACAUAGGCGACGAUCUCUAGCUGGGCUGAGAGGAUGAUCAGCCACACUGGAACUGAGACACGGCACAGACUCCUACGGGAGGAAGCAGUGGGGAAGAUUGCACAAUGGGCGCAAGCCUGAUGCAGCCAUGCCGCGUGUAUGAAGAAGGCCUUAGGAUUGGAAAGUACUUGAAGCGGGGAGGCGUUACCCGCAGAAGAAGCACAGGCUAACUCCGUGCCAGCAGCCGCGGUAAUAC